CCCUUAGAUGUCCUAGGCCGCACGCGCGCUACACUGACAUGUUCAACAAGUUUCUCCUAGUUCGACAGGACUGGGAAAUCUUUGAACGCAUGUCGUGAUAGGGAUAGAUCAUUGCAAUUAUUGAUCUUGAACGAGGAAUUCCUAGUAAACGCGAGUCAUCAGCUCGCAUUGAUUACGUCCCUGCCCUUUGUACACACCGCCCGUCGCACCUACCGAUUGAAUGUUUCGGUGAAGAUUCCGGAUAGGACUGAUUUGAUUUAUUUCAUUUCUGACCUAAAAGCUAUCUAAACCUCAACAUUUAGAGGAAGGUGAAGUCGUAACA
Molecule: ribosomal RNA, 322 nt
Filed under: uncultured eukaryote
Lineage: Eukaryota
Description: partial 18S ribosomal RNA
Rfam family: Eukaryotic small subunit ribosomal RNA
Source: RNAcentral